UCCGCGGUAGCUCAGCGGUAGAGCAGCCGGCUGUUAACCGGCUGGUCGCAGGUUCGAAUCCUGCCCGCGGAGCCA
This 75-nucleotide transfer RNA is filed under the name Hyphomicrobiales bacterium. RNAcentral's name for it is "Rhizobiales bacterium (sediment metagenome) tRNA-Asn". It matches the Rfam family "tRNA". From Rfam's summary of the family: Transfer RNA (tRNA) molecules are approximately 80 nucleotides in length. The record is from RNAcentral. RNAcentral also lists the same sequence under 2 other names. Lineage: Bacteria; Pseudomonadati; Pseudomonadota; Alphaproteobacteria; Hyphomicrobiales.